This 482-nucleotide ribosomal RNA is filed under the name uncultured bacterium. RNAcentral describes it as "partial 16S ribosomal RNA". It matches the Rfam family "Bacterial small subunit ribosomal RNA", at positions 30 to 507 of the family's 1533-position model. The record is from RNAcentral.
AUUGAACGCUGGCGGCAUGCCUUACACAUGCAAGUCGAACGGUAACGGGCCUUCGGGUGCCGACGAGUGGCGAACGGGUGAGUAAUACAUCGGAACGUGCCCGAUCGUGGGGGAUAACGAGGCGAAAGCUUUGCUAAUACCGCAUACGAUCUACGGAUGAAAGCAGGGGACCGCAAGGCCUUGCGCGGACGGAGCGGCCGAUGGCAGAUUAGGUAGUUGGUGGGAUAAAAGCUUACCAAGCCGACGAUCCGGAGCUGGUCUGAGAGGAUGAUCAGCCACACUGGGACUGAGACACGGCCCAGACUCCUACGGGAGGCAGCAGUGGGGAAUUUUGGACAAUGGGCGCAAGCCUGAUCCAGCCAUGCCGCGUGCAGGAUGAAGGCCUUCGGGUUGUAAACUGCUUUUGUACGGAACGAAAAGCCUUCUUUUAAUACAGGAGGGUCAUGACGGUACCGUAAGAAUAAGCACCGGCUAACUACGUG